UUUUUUCCCUUUUUCUCAACCAACCAGUUUUUUGUCACUAUUCUUUCUUAAAGGUAAAUUUGAAAGACAAAGCGGCAAGCAUAAGACCAGUAUACUUUGAGUUUGUUCCGCACAAGCUAUAAGAAAAGGAUGAAAAAGAAUACAUCUAUAUGUUACAAUGUGAUAUAACAACCAUAACCAGCCAUGUUCAAGGGCUCGAAGGAUUUGUAAUUGCAUCAUGGGGCGCGAGUGGCUCCUAAGUAGAAUUGGUGAUGCGGGAUGAGCUUGAAGUUGGGUUACUAUGCUCAACUGUGUGCUACCUGGAUCCCGCAAAGGGUGUUUGGUUGAUUAAAACAACACGAGGGUGGUCAUUGAAGUCAAAAUCCAUGAAGAAAUGUGAAACUCAACUUUUGAAUCAACUAGCCUUGAAAAUAGACGAAACUAAAGCACACAUCUAUACUUAUCCACUGCGACAAGCAUUUGGCCUUGAUGAGGAGGAGGGUACAUCUUUGCUGCAAAACUUUAGACGCGAGCUCAGGUGGAGCUGUUGUUUGUG
This 535-nucleotide ribosomal RNA is filed under the name Olea europaea subsp. europaea. RNAcentral describes it as "LSU_rRNA_eukarya". It matches the Rfam family "Eukaryotic large subunit ribosomal RNA", at positions 1043 to 1444 of the family's 3401-position model. Lineage: Eukaryota; Viridiplantae; Streptophyta; Magnoliopsida; Lamiales; Oleaceae. The record is from RNAcentral.